UAUUCUUCACAAGUCACAGAACAGGUACGAUGAAUGUUUACGACAGUCAAAGGAAAGCGGGAAAAUCUGGAUUUAAUUAGCAAAAUUGUGAUGAAGCUGUGAGAACAUCAGUCAUAUAUCUGAUUCAAUUUGACCCCAUUGUCUUCUUGUCAAGAUCGAAGAAGAGCUUCCGAUGAGACGUGAAGCUUUGGACUGAAGCCUCAAGGGCUGGAAGGCGUGGGCCAUCAGAUCGACCAUCUGCAGCAGAGCUGAGGCCUCGCGCCGUCCUGCAAAGGGUUAAACGGGCGGUCGGCCCGGCGGCGGCUUUACCCUCCCCGCGCCAGCCUCGCUCCUUCCCUCUCUCAGCUCCGCCCCGCUGACUCAGUGACAGCCGAGAGGAAGUGCUUUCCGGCCCGCCCGCUAUCUGCCGAUUGCAGGCUGUUCAAGGAAGAGCCCGGGGCGUCUGGGUGGAAGCUCAUCUCCAGGUUGGAAUAUCAGAAGACUGCAAGAGUAUUUCCUUCCUCAUAUCGUUGGUCCACAGCCAGAUAAUCCCUAUUUACCCUGAUAGUUCGAAGAGCUCCAUGUCUCUUUGAUCAAGUCCCAAGGAGAUCAGUUUUCAUUGUCUCAAAGAAAAGUCACAGAGGUGUAGCCAGUGGUAAUUACCUUCAUGGAGACCGAGAGCCAUAACAGUCUUCAGGAGAGACCCACA
Molecule: long non-coding RNA, 688 nt
Organism: Ailuropoda melanoleuca (giant panda)
Lineage: Eukaryota; Metazoa; Chordata; Mammalia; Carnivora; Ursidae
Exons: 3
Source: RefSeq, a predicted model, not a curated record